GUCACAGCUCUUGGACAAUCAAAGCUUCCUGGUGUGAGCAGAUCGGGGUCUCGCGCCUGCGGCUUUCCCUGCGGGGUCGCUCUGCUCAGCGAGGGUCCCGCCGGGCUGCUGCAGCAGCUCCCAUGGCACCAGGGAGCGGGGCCACCCCUGGGGGCAGCUGGCGCACAGGUUCCCGCCGGUGGGGGUGGGGGCCGGUGUCGCCCCCAGGAACUGCCUGCACCUGUUGCGAGCCACCUGUCUCACCUCUUAUUCUUGCUGGCGGUUUUCCCGCCGAGGUGGCCGCGUGCGGCACUGGCCAGGGUGCUGAGGGCGAGGGGCCGGGCUGUGCCUCUGCCGAGCGUCACAGCAAGCAGCCGCGGGUGCCUGUGCCAGCGGAGGCGUGCGACGGAGGCGCACGUGUGCAAGAGCACCGACGAGCGCGUUGUGGCUGGAGGUGCAGAUAGGAUUCCGCAUUUCGUGGCCGUGGUCUUGUGGCUCCCAGCGGCCCUGCCUCCGGUUCUGUUCUGAAAGCGUGGGGCCCACGAGGCCUCUCUUUUGGGCCCGGGUGGCAGCCUUGGCUCCGGGAAUCGGCUGGUUUUCCACUUACGGGGCAUCUGCGGGCUGCCACGUUGCUUUGCAAGGCCACUGACAGCAAAACAUCGUGGCAGGGGGAUUGCGAGAGACAGCAGCCACUCAUUCGAAUGAGCCGCUGUUCCACGCCCGGGGAGGGCCCCGCCUGGCCGCCUCUGGGGUCCCGGAGCUGACCUCAUGCCGGCCCUGCAGGGCGAGUCUCCUCACGGCAGACUGAGAACGCCGGGCCGGGCCAGUGCAGAGCCCCCUGCAGGCUCUGCGGGAGCCGGGGCGCCACGCGUGUGGGUGGCGGCCCCCAGGAGGUCUGCACUCGGGCAUCAGGGAAUGUCUACGCAACCGAGUAAAAGCGGUUGAGCUUAGCGAGUUACUUAAGCGUGGGGUGGUGUGAUUGUGUGGCUCACAUAUUGUCUUUCUGUCCUCAACACUCAGCCAGAGUGUGCAGUUGGAAACUCCGCCCCCCCCCCACGUGCACAGAGCAGCUGGGGCCUUUGCGUACGGUGGGGAGGGGGCAUCCCAGCACCCGAGCACCCCUCGUACUUCCGUCUCCCUCUCCUCUGGGGCGGUGCCUCUGAGAGCCCGCGUGGGACUUCCCUCAGCACAGCACUGCGGCGGCCGCGUGGUCUGCCCGCAGCGGGCGGUGGGCUGCACUGCUGCUCCCUCUGACGUGCACGGGUUUCCUGCUGUCUGGGGGAACCCGUGCAGAAACCAAGCACCCCCGAUGAAGACGCCGCUGGCAUCUAGUGUGUUCUAGACAUGCACAAACCUUGUCCAGAAUGGGAAGACUCCGCCUGGCUGCCCACAGCCACUCAGAAGUUUCUGGAACUUGGCUUGAACGUGAUGGGCACAUCAGUGGGGCCGACCGCCAGGCCUCCUCAGCUGCACCCUCUGCAGCCAGGGCACCCGGACCGCAGGCCCUGGGUGGUGCCAUCCGGGGGACGUGAGCCCAGCUCUGCCUGCACUGCUGUGGGCCAUCAUCGCUGCUCAAUGUGUUAGCAGUUUCCCAAAACUGGGUGUGAGACGCCCGCCCGCUGAGAGCCGUGCGUUAGCCUUCCGACGAGUGAGUCCGCCGAUUAGCAAGGCCUCAGGAAUGUCUGCCGGCCCCUCCAGGCUGCCUGGCUCCUGCUGUCUCUCUGCACCUCUCAGCACGUCAGGUCACCGCGCGGCGGCUCGCACCUUCAUCCCUGACCUGAAGCGACUUUGUCUCCCCUGCUCUGUCCUCCCCUGGAGCCGCAGGGUCUGGGUUCGGAACACGUUCGUCUCCUCCCUGACGCUCCAGUGCCAGCUCCCCGGGUGUGAAUCUUUUUAAGAUUAAUUAAUUUAUUUGAAAAUCAGAGAGAGAGAGAGAGAGAGAGAGAGAGAGAGAGAGAGAAGAACGAUCUUCCAUCUACCGGUUCACUCCUCAGAUGGCUGCAACAGCCAGGGCUGGGCCAGGUCAAAGCCAGGAGCCAGGAGCCUCAUCCAGGUCUCCCAAGAAGGUGGCAGGGCCAGUCGCUUGGGCCGUCCAUGCUGCUUUCCCUGGUGCAUUAGCAGGGAGCUGGCACAGAAGCGGAGCAGCCGGGACUCGGAGUGCCUGCAGGGUGUCAUGGGCGGGGCCUUACCUGCUACAGCACACCAGCCCCCAGGGUGUGACUCUUCCUGGGGUCUCACGGAACGUAUCCGAGGGCAAGUCUGUCACCCAGCCACAGGUGGAGCUGCUGGGAGUCCCUCUGGGCCCAGAGCAGUUCUAGCUCUUGGCAGGUGUCUGAGCACAAGUCAGCCUGGGAGUGCAGCCUCGUGGGCAGCCAAAGCAGCCUGGUGCCUGUGGACUUACACCCCGAUGUCACGUGGUGCCCAUGGGCUCACACCCUGACAUCACGUGGCACCUGUGGGCUCACACCCCGACGUCAUGUGGCACCCACGGGCUCACACCCCGUCACGUGGCGCCUGUGGACUCACACCCUGACGUCACGUGGUGCCCGUGGACUCACACCCCAACAUCACAUGGUGCCCGUGGACUCACAUCCUGACGUCAUGUGGUGCCCAUGGACUCACACCCCGAUGUCAUGUGGUGCCCGUGGACUCACACCCUGAUGUCAUGUGGUGCCCGUGGACUCACACCCCGAUGUUACGUGGUGCCCGUGGUCUCACAUCCUGAUGUCAUGUGGUGCCUGUGGUCUCACAUCCCGAUGUCACGUGGUGCCCGUGGACUCACACCCCGCCUGAUGUCACAAGGUGCCCAUGGACUCAUACCCCAACGUCACGUGGUGCCCGUGGACUCACACCCUGAUGUCACAAGGUGCCCAUGGACUCAUACCCCGACGUCAUAUGGUGCCCAUGGACUCAUACCCCGACGUCACGUGGUGCCCGUGGACUCACGUUGCUGGGGCCUUCUCUCCGGGAGGGCGUCUCCAGGCUUCCUCGGGCACGGGGCAUCUGCGGGGGGCAGGUGAUGACGGCCGUGUCCUCGCCUCUGGACUCCGCCCGCUGCCUGCCUGUGUGGGGAGCCCUGGAGCCUGGGGGCGAGCCCGAGGUUCUGAGGGCAUUAGCAGGCAGCAGAAUCAGCCGCAGAGCUGGGGCUGGGCCCAGGCAUCUGAUUUAGGAUGUGGGUAUCUCUAGUGGUGCCUUUACCCACGGCACCACCCAGAGGGCAGUGAAACCCCCGGCCCCGCGGUGGCCUGGACCCCCACCUGCUGCUGCUCCCACCUGCCCUGGCUUUGCCCGCAGCCGCGCUGUCCAGUGCAGGCUCCUUCCUGUCUCAGUCACAGAGGGGUCCCAGGGCUGGGAUUGAGCUGCACGGCCACCUGUGCCCUCAGGUGUCUCAGUCACCCCUCCUGUCUCAGAGCACAGCUCUAAGACUGCCCCCCUCAGACACCGUCUGCCUGCCCAUGGCCUAACCCUGCCCAUCGCCCCUCCUUCGCCGAGAAACGCAGGUCCCUGCACCCCACCAUGGGAGGAGGCGGCCUUUUCCUUCCCCCUUCAGCCCCACGCACCUGCUGAGCUCUCCUGCGCUGCCCCACCAGCCCAGCCCUUGUCGCUCGUCCAGCCCUGGCCCAGCCCCGUGUCUUAGACUUCUCAGCUGGUGCUGGAGUGAGCUUCCAGGGCGAACAGCCACCCUGGCGUCAGGAGAAUGCACCCCCCCCAACGUGUCCCUGAGCUGACAGGCGAGGGGCCCUCAGCAACAGUGGGGGGGGGGGGUCCACGGGCGGGGAGACAAGAGACAGGCUCGGGGCGGAGCCAUUUGAUUAAAAUUUCUAUUUGAAUUAAGUCUAUUUGAAUUCACUAUAGAAAUGAUCGCACAUUCUUAGACAUUCUGGCACUUACUCUGCCUGCUUUGGGAAGGGUUUCUCCCUCAGGAUCAGAACCCCUGCGAGGAACUGUUCCCGAAGGCAGAUUCCCCACAGAGGGGCUGCCCAGCCCCGCAGGGAGAGCCAGGCGCAGCGGGCUGAGAUACCUGAUACGUGAUGCGUGGCUUACCACACCUGAGACAAGGCGUGGCCUGUGGUGUUCCCUCACCGGAAGCGCCUCUGGGAUCCAUACCAGGCACAGUCGGGCCAGGUCCCUGGCACAGCCAGCAGAGCCCACCUCGAAGCAGCUCAGGGGGGCACGGGUGGUCAUGCAGCUCAAUCCCCGGACCCCUGGGGCCCCUCUGCCCGCCUCAGUCUGUGCUGUGGGGCGAGGCUGGCGGCUCGUGGUUGGGAGGACUGGGGCGCGGCCACGGUCAGCUCACAGAACGGCGCCGAUGACCUGGUGGUACCUGGCUCCCGGCGCCACGCCGCUCUCUCCCUGGAAGCAGGGCGCUGCUUCCAGUGUGCCGAGCUCACACGCCUGGUCUGACUCCCAGCUGCCGCCCGCAGGGCCACCAUCCUCAACCUACAGACAAGGACACUGACGUCAGAGAGGCUGAGAACUUGCCGUGGUCACAGGUGGCGGGGGCUGGGUGGCGGACGGCGCCUCCUCUACCCGUGCUGUGGCUGCAGGACAGGCCCUGUCACCGAGAGCUCCUUUAGGAGCUGGGAGGGCAGCCACUGCCCUGAGAGCUCACCUCCCACCGUCAGCCCGCCCCCACCCCUGCACCGCCCGCCAGCCGCUGCAUCCACGGGGCAGCAGGCCUGGAGACCCGGGCAGCGGGGCCUGUGCUAAGGACCAGGCGGUUUAAGGAUUAACCUGAUCCCCUGCACGUCCCCUCUGCCUCCCUCUGCCUCCCUCUGCCUCCCUCUGUGAACCGUGGGCAGAGCGUGCGAGACUGCACCCAGCCGAGUCCGCACCUGAGCGUCUUCCUGCCGAGUCAUGGAGAGCCCCCGCGUUCCUCUCCCUAAACCACGUCCCCAGUGACGGCGGCCCAGGGGCGAGAUCAGGGCAGCUCGGAGGCUUUGGGAAGGUGACUCGUGGACGGCCACUGAGCACUGCGCAGGGCCUGAGGUCGGGCCAGCAAGGCGGCUGAGCGGCUGCACAGCGCAACGGCCUGGGAUGCGCCGUUCCGGAGCUGAGGGCUCUCGACCCGGCGUCCCCGGGCACCGCCAGCCGGUGGGGGACUCGUGGGGAAGUGAGUGGGCGGGGGGCCGCUUCCGGUCCCAGUGCCAGGCUCAGCCUCACAGGCAGGAAGCGCAGCAGCGUCCCCAGUCACUAGCGCUCAGUGACGUGAGAAUCAGAGGAGAGGCCACCAGCGAUGUCAUGAACUCCCUGGGGAAGACGUCACCCUUCUUCCCGAGAGGCAGGGUGGCCCAAUGGCGAGAUCUGAGAAACUUUGGGGACGCCCACGCGAGGCCGAGGCCUGGUCUAGGGGCCUUGACACUGUGAAAUCAGGUUAGGGCCGAACCUCGGACACGGCUCCCAGGAACAGGCAGCAAUGCAAGGACCGAGACCCCGGAGCCCCGGGUCCUGCACCUGCAGGCCUGGGGUUGGCAGCCUGCAGUGUCGGGGGCUCGGGGAGGUGAGGCCGCCCACUCGGAGACCAAAUGUGCCAGUGCACGGCCUGAGAGCGCGGCGGGGAUACGGGUCA
Molecule: non-coding RNA, 5548 nt
Organism: Oryctolagus cuniculus (rabbit)
Lineage: Eukaryota; Metazoa; Chordata; Mammalia; Lagomorpha; Leporidae
Source: RefSeq, a predicted model, not a curated record